This is a long non-coding RNA of Octodon degus (degu), 781 nucleotides long. RefSeq lists it as uncharacterized. The transcript has 2 exons. The record is from RefSeq and is a predicted model, not a curated record. NCBI's taxonomy places the organism in Eukaryota, Metazoa, Chordata, Mammalia, Rodentia, Octodontidae.
UUAAGCAGAGCUCUACAGAGGGCUGAGGGUGUUGCUCAUGGUAUACUGAAAUGGACAAGGCCCUAAGGACCCUCACUGGAAACAGCCUCUAUAGAAUGACUUUCCCUGUGCAGUUCAGAGAACAGGGAUGAUAAGUGGGGUGAUCUUAAUUCUGAUACAAUUCUCUAAACUGGGUGUACCUAGACUUAGAUACUCUCUAAGUCAGGACAUAAGGAAGGGCCUCCUACCAGCCCUUAGAAAAGAGGAGAGGGACUUGAAAUAUUUUUAAUGUAUUCAUAAAAUCUAGGAGCUGCAGUAAGCAACCCUCAUGGCCAUUCAUCCUUCAGCCAGGAGAUAAAAGAAGUAGAGAAAAAAUAAAGAGGGGCUGGGGAAAUAGCUCAGCAGCUCCUGUGCCUGUCUGGCAAGCCUAAGAUCCUGAGUUCCAUUUCCAGUACCCAAGAAGAUAGAAAAGAGAAAGAAUAGGGUUACUGACGAAGCCUGUCAGCAAAGUCCACGCGGCAGAGUAAUUUACCACCACCCCGAAAAUACACUUGGCCAAAGUACUUUAGGUUAGUGUUCAAUAGGGGGGAAAAUAAAAGAGCAGCAAUUGCAGACGUCUUCCCUAUUCUUGAUGGGUGGAGAAUACAGACCCAGAGUAUCCUAAGCCACAUUUCUGUUGGCUCUUAGCUCAAAAAACCACCAAGCUUCUGUUAGCACUUACUCAGCCAGUAGUUGUAAGGACCCAGAGUAACACUGCAAGGAAAAUAUUUCAUUAUGAAAAGAUUUUUUUAAAAAUCGAGAG